Long non-coding RNA from Cucurbita maxima (winter squash), 211 nucleotides. RefSeq lists it as uncharacterized. The transcript has 3 exons. Lineage: Eukaryota; Viridiplantae; Streptophyta; Magnoliopsida; Cucurbitales; Cucurbitaceae. The record is from RefSeq and is a predicted model, not a curated record.
AAGAUUCCAAUUUGUUAGGUUUAGAUUUAGAUUUGUUAGGUCUAGAUUGUAUAGGCCUCUAGUAUAAAUACCCGUCGAGGGUUCUACCUAGGUUAUUCAUCCAAGAAACCCAAAAACAAGAAAAAUCCAAAAAGUAUUCUACACAGUGUCUUAUAUUCUCUUCUCGAUUGGUCUUAAUAAAGAGUGCGAGUGUUUCCCACAGAGAGUUGUG